GAUGAACGCUGGCGGCGUGCCUAAUACAUGCAAGUCGAACGAACAGACGAGGAUCUUGCUCCUCUCACGUUAGCGGCGGACGGGUGAGUAAAACGUGGAUAACCUACCUAUAAGACUUGGAUAACUUCGAGAAACCGGAGCUAAUACCGGAUAAUAUAUUGAACCGCAUGGGUCAGUAGUGAAAGGCGGUUUGGCUGUCACUUAUCGAUUGAUCCGCGGCGCAUUAGCUUGUUGGUAAGGUAACGGCUUACCAAGGCAACGAUGCGUGGCCGACCUGAGAGGGUGAUCGGCCACACUGGAACUGAGACACGGUACAGACACCUACGGGAGGCAGAAGUAGGGAAUCGACCGAAAUGGGCGAAAGACUGACGGAGCAACGGAGCGUGAGUGAUGAAGGUCUUCGGAUCGUAAAACUCUGUUAGUAGGGAAGAACAAAUGUGUAAGUAACUAUGCACGUCUUGACGGUACCUAAUAAGAAAGCCACGGCUAACUACGUG
This 497-nucleotide ribosomal RNA is filed under the name uncultured bacterium. RNAcentral's name for it is "partial 16S ribosomal RNA". It matches the Rfam family "Bacterial small subunit ribosomal RNA", at positions 28 to 507 of the family's 1533-position model. The record is from RNAcentral.